Long non-coding RNA from Vombatus ursinus (common wombat), 1543 nucleotides. RefSeq lists it as uncharacterized. NCBI's taxonomy places the organism in Eukaryota, Metazoa, Chordata, Mammalia, Diprotodontia, Vombatidae. The record is from RefSeq and is a predicted model, not a curated record. The transcript is spliced from 3 exons.
CAGAUCCUCCUGACUCCAAGACCAGAUCUCUAUUUGCUGUGCCACUUAGCUGCCCUUGGUAUUUAUUUUUGUUGGAGUUUCUCUUUUUGGAACCUGUUGGAAUAUAAGUUAGGCUGAGUAGUUGCUGGUCUAGAUUCCUUUCUGGUGGCUAGAUUGGUGUCCAUUCUUACUGUGGGAUUUAUACAGCUUUAUACAAACAAGUCUCCUUCCUGUUUUUGCUGUUCUAUUUGAGAUUUGAUUGUUUACCUCUGUCUUCCUUCCUCAUUCAGUGGUGUCCUGGUCUUGUCUGUGGUUACCUUUAAAAAUACCUAAGAAUCCAGUGGAAAGUUAAGUAUAGUUAUGGCAUUCCUGGGUGCCAUGAAUAUAUCAGAUCCUUGUCUUAGUUCUUUGCAGAAAGGCCCAAAUCAAACUGAUGAACAGUAGCCUACGAACGUACACGUGUGUGUGUACCUCAGUUUUAAUUGCUAGGUGUCUGUCUUUUCCCAUAGUCCUUCCCAAAUGGAACAGUACAUCCCCUUAUGUCCCAGCUGCUGUAUGUAAGCCUUAAAACACCAUAAGCAGGGCCAUCAAAGGAAUGCUAGGUUGUCAGUAUGUUUCAUAGGAUUUAGGCCUUGAAAGGGCCUUAGAAAUCAUCUGAUCUGAUCUCAUCUUUAUCAAGAUGAAGAAAUGGGGUUCAAGAAAGUUGAUUUGCCCCUGGGGCGUAACAGGUAAUAAGUAGUACAGCUGGAAUUUGAAUUGACUUUAACUUUGGGGAUCUCUUUUAACUACCCCUCCUUGGAGUUAUUCAUCUGAAACCCAGGAACCACAACCGUCAUCUCAAAAUGCUUCUAAGCACUUGAGGUCUUCACUGGAUUCUAGGUGGAAUGACAUUUUUUACUCUCCUGUUUACAGGGUUGGUCCAUUCCCUGUGCUUUUUAUCAUUCUCCAGUCACUGCUGGAAGCAAUGGGGAGGAAGAGAGAAGGUAUUUCCUUCAUUCAUAUAAAACCAGGUGUCAGAGUAAGGUGCCCUCUCUCCUAAGUUCUAGCAACUGUCACCAGGCAGGGCCAUAAGGAAACAACCCUCCUAGGCUGCAGUGUACUUGGAGUCAUGAGAGGAGGACUUAUAUGUGCCGAUGGUUCCGCGAUGGGUCCCAUUGCUGGGAACGAGUAGCAGGUCCUUGGACAUAGUGAUCCACAUGGGGAAGAAGACCUGAGAACAUCAGCUUAUUUAGAGGAGAUGCGAAAGAAUUCUUUUCACUCCAAAGGGACCAACUUCAGUAAUCACAGCUAGUCUACUUCAUUCUUUACCUCUGGUUCUAGAUUUAGUUAAUUAAUGGUCAUUCCAUUGCAGUGCCAAACCCAGGAUAUCUUGACCACCAGGGAUUUCCUGAACUGCCUUGUCAUCUUCCUUGGUGCACUGGGAAUUGAAGGCAGGAAGGUAUUCAUACCUUAGACUGUGGUUUUGGGGACUAGGGUUGGAAAAGGAUGUAUUGCAUAUAGAAGUGACUUCCACAAAACACCUACUCAAAGUUCCUCUGAGUGCAGACCUGAAAGAAUGCCUUGU